This 455-nucleotide ribosomal RNA is filed under the name Micrococcus luteus. RNAcentral's name for it is "bacterial SSU rRNA". It matches the Rfam family "Bacterial small subunit ribosomal RNA", at positions 1 to 455 of the family's 1533-position model. Lineage: Bacteria; Bacillati; Actinomycetota; Actinomycetes; Micrococcales; Micrococcaceae. The record is from RNAcentral.
UUUUACGGAGAGUUUGAUCCUGGCUCAGGAUGAACGCUGGCGGCGUGCUUAACACAUGCAAGUCGAACGAUGAAGCCCAGCUUGCUGGGUGGAUUAGUGGCGAACGGGUGAGUAACACGUGAGUAACCUGCCCUUAACUCUGGGAUAAGCCUGGGAAACUGGGUCUAAUACCGGAUAGGAGCGCCUACCGCAUGGUGGGUGUUGGAAAGAUUUAUCGGUUUUGGAUGGACUCGCGGCCUAUCAGCUUGUUGGUGAGGUAAUGGCUCACCAAGGCGACGACGGGUAGCCGGCCUGAGAGGGUGACCGGCCACACUGGGACUGAGACACGGCCCAGACUCCUACGGGAGGCAGCAGUGGGGAAUAUUGCACAAUGGGCGAAAGCCUGAUGCAGCGACGCCGCGUGAGGGAUGACGGCCUUCGGGUUGUAAACCUCUUUCAGUAGGGAAGAAGCGAAA